CCCCACCCCGGCUCAUCUCCCCGCCGUCUCCACCACCCACCCUUUCGCAGUGGUUGGCCUCCCGACCCCUCCUCAUCUUCUCCCGCUAAUCCCCCCAUUCCCCUCGCCACCGUCGUCGGCUGCCCAAGAUGAAUGUCGACAAGCUGAAGAAGGUGGUCGGCGCCGUGCGCACCGGGGGCAAGGGCAGCGUGCGCAGGAAGAAGAAGGCCGUUCACAAGACAACGACCAAUAAAAUCGGGCUGGCCUGCUGGAGCCAGGUCCUCUCCCAGCGCAUUGUUGAUUGAUUCACAUGAAGUGCGAGACGCCAAGAACUCGGGGAAGUCCUAAGGCCGCCUGCCUUCGCCUGCCCAGGACUCGAUCUGGAUCCCCGCCGACAAGCCGAUCCCCGUCCUCCUGCUUGCGAGAGAGAUUGGACGCCGUGGGAGCGCCCAGAUCCCGCCAUGAAUCCUGAGUAGUAAGUCCCUCCCUCCUCUGCUUCGCCCCCAGCAGUUCCGAUCGGGGCUGGGGCUUUUGGGCUGAGAUCUCGCUGGAUCUGGCGUGCGUGGGGGUUGACUCUCGAUCCCAGCAGAAUCGUGUCGUUUUUUUCUUUGUCUGGAUCGUGUCCGCGAGGGGAAUGCAAUGUUUCCAGCAGAGUUUGUGUUUAAAUUAGGUGAAAUCUGAUGUGAAAUCGUUUGCUGUGUGCACCUAUCUCGCUCCAUGCCGCUGGGUGGAUGUACUCUUUUUUUACCCGGUCGUUAUGAUUAGUGUUUCCAGCGUUGUUUAUUGUGGAUUUUAGAUUCCUACUACUACUAUCUAACGGCAGUAAAAGAACAAGACGGAGGAAUAGAGAAUAUGUCAGUUUUGGUGAAUUAUGUAUGCUAAUGUCACUUUGCACCAUCUCUAGUUUCGUAGUCACUUUGCAUCCAUGAUCCAAUCCGUCUCCACACUGCAGAUGUGGGUAAAGUGCACAAGUCUGCUUAACAUCCUUUACAAGCACAUCCAAAUGCUCUGUCUCUUCAUGUUGUAUAACUGUGAUAGUCAUGGGCUGAUAUAACUGUUUGUUCGGUUACCGCUGUAACUGUGGUUGCACUCCACUCAUUCAAUGUUACAAUAUCAUUAUAUCUUAAUGCUGCAAGGGGAACUAUUUUUACAUUCUAUCACAGUAAUCACACACUAGUACAUAGGUAUCUAUUAGCUUAGCAAAACUGGCAUUUUGGCUGAGUAUUAAACAUCAAAAUGUCCCAUCAUCUGUCGCUGCUUACAUUUCUAAGCCUGACAAUAUUAUUCCAUCUAAUUGUUGUGUGUUAUUAUCUUGAAUACAUUUCUCUUUUAAUUUAUUUUUAAUCUUCCAAGCCUGGACAUAGUUAUUGUAUCUUAUUAUCAUCUUUGGAAGUGGCCGGACCCUUCCGCGAACCCGGCGCAAGCCAGAGGUACGUCCAGCGCGCUGCCCUUUUUUUAUCAUCUUGGAAAUGUCACCACUACUUGUUUUAUUCUCUGCACACUGUGUUUGCUGGAGACUAACAUUCUCUUAUUUGACCAUGCAGUGAUUACCUCUUCAAGCUAUUGCUUAUUGGAGACUCAGGUGUUGGCAAGUCAUGUCUUCUGUCAAGAUUUGCAGGUGAUCGACGAGGACUAUUGCGGCCCGAUGGGAGUCGUGCUUUUCAACUACUCGGAGGCCGACUUCACCGUGCAGCCCCGCGACCGCGCCAUACAGAUUAUCGUCCAGGCGAUUGCGACGCAGGAGGUCCCCGGGGUGGAGGACCUCGACACCACCGUUCGGAGGUCACUGAGGUGGAGGAUGACGCCACCGUCCAGAGUUCCUCAAGGUGGAGGACCAUGAUGCUUUGUACGUACAUCUAGAGAAGUGGUCUAGUUAGGUUGGUGGUGAAACGCUAGGGAAGGUACCAACCUUUUGAUGAUGGUUGUGUGUGUCCUCGUGAUCUCUUCGAGUUGAGAUGUUGAAUGUUGCAUCCAUGAACACUGCAAGUGUUAAGAUGGUUCUGUGAAAUUUAUU
Long non-coding RNA from Triticum aestivum (bread wheat), 1993 nucleotides. RefSeq lists it as uncharacterized. NCBI's taxonomy places the organism in Eukaryota, Viridiplantae, Streptophyta, Magnoliopsida, Poales, Poaceae. The record is from RefSeq and is a predicted model, not a curated record. The transcript has 4 exons.